This 139-nucleotide ribosomal RNA is filed under the name uncultured bacterium. Its description in RNAcentral is "partial 16S ribosomal RNA". It matches the Rfam family "Bacterial small subunit ribosomal RNA", at positions 355 to 509 of the family's 1533-position model. The record is from RNAcentral.
UGGGGAAUAUUGGGCAAUGGGCGCAAGCCUGACCCAGCAACGCCGCGUGAAGGAAGAAGGCUUUCGGGUUGUAAACUUCUUUCUCAGGGGACGAACAGAUGACGGUACCUGAGGAAUAAGCCACGGCUAACUACGUGCC